This is a ribosomal RNA of Pteropus vampyrus (large flying fox), 138 nucleotides long. The record is from Ensembl. NCBI's taxonomy places the organism in Eukaryota, Metazoa, Chordata, Mammalia, Chiroptera, Pteropodidae.
CUACAGCCAUGCCACCCUGAUGGCCAUGCUAUCAGACGGGAUCAGACUUGAUCCCGUCUGAUAUCGGAAGCUAAGCAGGGUCAGGCCUGAUUAGUACUUGGAUGAGAGACCACCUAGGAAGACCAGGUGCUGUAGAUG